This 115-nucleotide ribosomal RNA is filed under the name Microcebus murinus (gray mouse lemur). The record is from RNAcentral. Lineage: Eukaryota; Metazoa; Chordata; Mammalia; Primates; Cheirogaleidae.
GUCUAUAGCCAUACCACCCUCAAUGCGCCUGAUCUCAUCUGAUCUCGGAAGCUAAGCAGGGUUGGGCCCAGUUAGUACAUGAAUGGGAGAAGAUGUAAGUAAGCAAUUGCAGAAA